AGCCUGAUCCAGCCAUGCCGCGUGUGUGAAGAAGGCCCUCGGGUUGUAAAGCACUUUCAGUGAGGAAGAAUGCUUGUGGGUUAAUACCCCGCAAGAAGGACAUCACUCACAGAAGAAGCACCGGCUAACUCCGUGCCAGCAGCCGCGGUAAUACGGAGGGUGCGAGCGUUAAUCGGAAUUACUGGGCGUAAAGCGCGCGUAGGCGGCUUGAUAAGCCGGUUGUGAAAGCCCCGGGCUCAACCUGGGAACGGCAUCCGGAACUGUCAGGCUAGAGUGCAGGAGAGGAAGGUAGAAUUCCCGGUGUAGCGGUGAAAUGCGUAGAGAUCGGGAGGAAUACCAGUGGCGAAGGCGGCCUUCUGGACUGACACUGACGCUGAGGUGCGAAAGCGUGGGUAGCAAACAGGAUUAGAUACCCUGGUAGUCCACGCCGUAAACGAUGUCGACUAGCCGUUGGGGUCCUCGAGACCUUUGUGGCGCAGUUAACGCGAUAAGUCGACCGCCUGGG
Molecule: ribosomal RNA, 505 nt
Filed under: Halomonas sp. SIJ22
Lineage: Bacteria; Pseudomonadati; Pseudomonadota; Gammaproteobacteria; Oceanospirillales; Halomonadaceae
Also listed under: 1 other name
Description: bacterial SSU rRNA
Rfam family: Bacterial small subunit ribosomal RNA
Source: RNAcentral